This 265-nucleotide ribosomal RNA is filed under the name Klebsiella oxytoca. Its description in RNAcentral is "partial 23S ribosomal RNA". It matches the Rfam family "Bacterial large subunit ribosomal RNA", at positions 1640 to 1888 of the family's 2925-position model. Lineage: Bacteria; Pseudomonadati; Pseudomonadota; Gammaproteobacteria; Enterobacterales; Enterobacteriaceae. The record is from RNAcentral.
AAUCGUACCCCAAACCGACACAGGUGGUCAGGUAGAGAAUACCAAGGCGCUUGAGAGAACUCGGGUGAAGGAACUAGGCAAAAUGGUGCCGUAACUUCGGGAGAAGGCACGCUGAUGGUAAGUGAAGCGACUUGCUCGUGGAGCUGAAAUCAGUCGAAGAUACCAGCUGGCUGCAACUGUUUAUUAAAAACACAGCACUGUGCAAACACGAAAGUGGACGUAUACGGUGUGACGCCUGCCCGGUGCCGGAAGGUUAAUUGAUGGG